UCUUCCACGUCUAAUGUAGGGAUUAUUGUGCAAUACCGCCACCUACUUCCUGGAAUUAGAUCAACGUGGCGUACCCGACCGAGCGGCACGAGAGGAAGGAGGGAGAAGGCUCAGCAGAAAUGAGCAGGUCUCUGAGUCUGGGAC
Molecule: long non-coding RNA, 144 nt
Organism: Pundamilia nyererei
Lineage: Eukaryota; Metazoa; Chordata; Actinopteri; Cichliformes; Cichlidae
Exons: 3
Source: RefSeq, a predicted model, not a curated record